Molecule: ribosomal RNA, 468 nt
Filed under: uncultured bacterium
Lineage: Bacteria
Description: partial 16S ribosomal RNA
Rfam family: Bacterial small subunit ribosomal RNA
Source: RNAcentral
GACGAACGCUGGCGGCGUGCUUAACACAUGCAAGUCGAACGGAAAGGCCCUGCUUUUUUGGGGUGCUCGAGUGGCGAACGGGUUAGUUACACGUGAGUAACCUGCCCUUGACUUUGGGAUAACUUCAGUAAACUGGGGCUAACACCGGAUCGGAUCUCCUGCUGCAUGGUUGGGGUUGGAACGUUUCGGCGGUUGGGGAUGGACUCGCGGCUUAUCAGCUUGUUGCUGGGGUAGUGGCUUACCAAGGCUUUGUCGGGUAGCCGGCCUGAGAGGGUGACCGGCGACAUUGGGAAUGAGAUACGGCCAAGACUCCUACGGGAGGAAGCGGGGGGGAAUAGUGAAAAAGGGGCGGAAGCCUGAUGCAGCAACGCAGCGUGCGGGAUGACGGCCUUCGGGUUGUAAACCGAAUUAGCCUGGGACGAAGCGUGAGUGAAGGGAAUGGGUAAAGAAGGACCGGCUAAAUAAGUG